This 63-nucleotide transfer RNA is filed under the name Pelagomonas calceolata. RNAcentral describes it as "partial tRNA". Lineage: Eukaryota; Pelagophyceae; Pelagomonadales; Pelagomonadaceae. The record is from RNAcentral.
GACGUCCAUGCCCUUGGUCACGGAGCCGAAGACGACGUGCUUGCCGUCGAGCCAGUCGGUCUU